CGCUGGCGGCGUGCUUAACACAUGCAAGUCGAACGAUGAACCUGGAGCUUGCUCUAGGGGAUUAGUGGCGAACGGGUGAGUAACACGUGAGUAACCUGCCCUUGACUCUGGGAUAACCUCCGGAAACGGACGCUAAUACCGGAUAUGACGCACGGAGGCAUCUCCUGUGCGUGGAAAGAACUUCGGUCAAGGAUGGACUCGCGGCCUAUCAGGUAGUUGGUGAGGUAACGGCCCACCAAGCCUACGACGGGUAGCCGGCCUGAGAGGGUGACCGGCCACACUGGGACUGAGACACGGCCCAGACUCCUACGGGAGGCAGCAGUGGGGAAUAUUGCACAAUGGGCGCAAGCCUGAUGCAGCAACGCCGCGUGAGGGACGACGGCCUUCGGGUUGUAAACCUCUUUUAGUAGGGAAGAAGCGA
Molecule: ribosomal RNA, 421 nt
Filed under: Leifsonia sp. Ellin419
Lineage: Bacteria; Bacillati; Actinomycetota; Actinomycetes; Micrococcales; Microbacteriaceae
Description: bacterial SSU rRNA
Rfam family: Bacterial small subunit ribosomal RNA
Source: RNAcentral